RNAcentral lists this ribosomal RNA (464 nucleotides) under uncultured bacterium. Its description in RNAcentral is "partial 16S ribosomal RNA". It matches the Rfam family "Bacterial small subunit ribosomal RNA", at positions 339 to 795 of the family's 1533-position model. The record is from RNAcentral.
CUACGGGUGGCUGCAGUGGGGAAUAUUGCACAAUGGGCGCAAGCCUGAUGCAGCCAUGCCGCGUGUAUGAAGAAGGCCUUCGGGUUGUAAAGUACUUUCAGCGGGGAGGAAGGGAGUAAAGUUAAUACCUUUGCUCAUUGACGUUGCCCGCAGAGGAAGCACCGGCUAACUCCGUGCCAGCAGCCGCGGUAAUGCGGAGGGUGCAUGCGUUAAUCGGAAUUACUGGGCGUAAAGCGCACGCAGGCGGUUUGUUAAGUCAGAUGUGAAAUCCCCGGGCUCAACCUGGGAACUGCAUCUGAUACUGGCAAGCUUGAGUCUCGUAGAGGGGGGUAGAAUUCCAGGUGUAGCGGUGAAAUGCGUAGAGAUCUGGAGGAAUACCGGUGGCGAAGGCGGCCCCCUGGACGAAGACUGACGCUCAGGUGCGAAAGCGUGGGGAGCAAACAGGAUUAGAUACCCGCGUAGUC